ACUAGUGAAACUGGCCCUCGUGGCUAAGACACCACCCUUGUGUAUUAUUACUUGUUGCUUUGGCAGGCCGCCAUCUGGCGCCGGCUUCGGCUGGAGAGUGCUUGCCAGAGAACCGAAAACUCUGAAUUAAAUGUCGUCUGAGUACUAUGUAAUAGUUA
Molecule: unclassified non-coding RNA, 158 nt
Filed under: uncultured Ascomycota
Lineage: Eukaryota; Fungi; Ascomycota
Description: sequence contains ITS1
Source: RNAcentral